AACGAACGCUGGCGGCAGGCCUAAUACAUGCAAGUCGAGCGAACAGAUGAGAAGCUUGCUUCUCUGAUGUUAGCGGCGGACGGGUGAGUAACACGUGGGUAACCUACCUAUAAGACUGGGAUAACUCCGGGAAACCGGGGCUAAUACCGGAUAAUAUUUUGAACCGCAUGGUUCAAAAGUGAAAGACGGUUUCGGCUGUCACUUAUAGAUGGACCCGCGCCGUAUUAGCUAGUUGGUAAGGUAACGGCUUACCAAGGCGACGAUACGUAGCCGACCUGAGAGGGUGAUCGGCCACACUGGAACUGAGACACGGUCCAGACUCCUACGGAAGGCAGCAGUAGGGAAUCUUCCGCAAUGGGCGAAAGCCUGACGGAGCAACGCCGCGUGAGUGAUGAAGGUCUUCGGAUCGUAAAACUCUGUUGUUAGGGAAGAACAAAUUUGUUAGUAACUGAACAAGUCUUGACGGUACCUAACCAGAAAGCCACGGCUAACUACGUGCCAGCAGCCGCAGUAA
RNAcentral lists this ribosomal RNA (514 nucleotides) under uncultured bacterium. RNAcentral describes it as "partial 16S ribosomal RNA". It matches the Rfam family "Bacterial small subunit ribosomal RNA", at positions 29 to 523 of the family's 1533-position model. The record is from RNAcentral.